CAGCCAGUGCCCCCUCUCCACCGCUGAGCCCAAGUGCCAGGUGGGAGCAGGGUCGUGGCGUCGGAGCCUCCGGGCUGCAGGGGGCGCGGAGCCGGCGGGCUGGCCCAGAAAACGAAUCCUGCGGUGUCGCGUUUCCUGCAACGUGAGCCAGGUCGGGCGGGGUGAAGGGUCUGAGGCCACCGCAGGGACGCAUGGGCUGGAGAGUGGGGCAGGGGACAGCCCCCACCCGGUCACUCAGUCUUUGGCCCGGCCGCCUCACUCUCCCUCACUGAGCUGGGCCUAGUUGGGGGCAGCUGCGACGGGGCGGGAAGCCGCGCUGUCACCCGACCCCGCCUUACGGCCCCUGAAAUCCGAGGCUUGAGCGCGGGUGUCGGUGUCGCUUUCGUGGAUGGCGAUGGUUUCCAGAUGCAGGAGGGAAACGGUGGGGACGCGACCCGGAGCCGGCAGCCAAAUAUGAGAGGCCCCCUCUGCCCACGGUCAGCCCUCUCUCCUCUCGGGCGGGGAUGAAGGUGGGGGCUCAGCUCCCAGCUUAGGGAGAG
Molecule: long non-coding RNA, 539 nt
Filed under: Homo sapiens (human)
Lineage: Eukaryota; Metazoa; Chordata; Mammalia; Primates; Hominidae
Description: non-protein coding lnc-NBPF1-6:3
Source: RNAcentral